This 396-nucleotide ribosomal RNA is filed under the name uncultured bacterium. RNAcentral describes it as "partial 16S ribosomal RNA". It matches the Rfam family "Bacterial small subunit ribosomal RNA", at positions 523 to 917 of the family's 1533-position model. The record is from RNAcentral.
AUACGUAGGGGGCGAGCGUUGUCCGGAAUGAUUGGGCGUAAAGGGCGCGUAGGCGGCGCGGUAAGUCUGGAGUGAAAGUCCUGCUUUCAAGAUGGGAAUUGCUUUGGAUACUGUCGGGCUUGAGUGCAGGAGAGGUAAGUGGAAUUCCCAGUGUAGCGGUGAAAUGCGUAGAGAUUGGGAGGAACACCAGUGGCGAAGGCGACUUACUGGACUGUAACUGACGCUGAGGCGCGAAAGUGUGGGGAGCAAACAGGAUUAGAUACCCUGGUAGUCCACACUGUAAACGAUGAAUGCUAGGUGUAGGGGGUAUCGACCCCUUCUGUGCCGCAGUCAACACAAUAAGCAUUCCGCCUGGGGAGUACGGCCGCAAGGUUGAAACUCAAAUGAAUUGACGGG